UGACAGCUCCAGCCAAGUUUC
Molecule: non-coding RNA, 21 nt
Filed under: Mus musculus (house mouse)
Lineage: Eukaryota; Metazoa; Chordata; Mammalia; Rodentia; Muridae
Source: RNAcentral